Molecule: long non-coding RNA, 502 nt
Organism: Sinocyclocheilus rhinocerous
Lineage: Eukaryota; Metazoa; Chordata; Actinopteri; Cypriniformes; Cyprinidae
Exons: 5
Source: RefSeq, a predicted model, not a curated record
UCAACCCUCUAAAACUCAGCUUCGAAGGGAAUAGGGCACAGGGAUGAUCACUACCGAAUGGAACGCAGCCCUAGUCACGUGGGUCGCGACGCUCCAGCGCUAUAAAAGCGGACGCUCUCUGCUCCUCGCUCUCUUUCUCGCCGCAGCACGUGUAUGUUUAUGGUUCCCAGACAUACAGGAGAUCCGCUCAAAUAAAGCAUAAUGAAUUACACGCGAGGAUCCCAUCGCAGCGCUUGCAAACCACCAUGAUAAAUGCUGGAUUCAAUGUGACUUUGUCAUGAUUAUCUGCUGGCUGAUUUACUGUGUGAUAAUUACGCGCAGUUCAUGAAAAUGGUGAACGUCUGUGUCUAAACGCUGAUUCAGCACUGAGCAGAUGGAGCUGAAACCACCAUGAAGUGUCCUGAUUCACUUGGAUAAAGCGCUGUACACGUGAUGACUGUGAAUGCUGGAGAUUGAUGUCAUGUAACUUCUGUUUAUUAUCAAAUAAAUCGUAUCAAAACUA